RNAcentral lists this long non-coding RNA (233 nucleotides) under Mytilus galloprovincialis (Mediterranean mussel). Lineage: Eukaryota; Metazoa; Mollusca; Bivalvia; Mytilida; Mytilidae. The record is from RNAcentral.
UUCCAAUUGAUAUUUAAUAGUGUGUCUUUCUAUGUUGUGAUGUUAUACUAUUGUUUCAGAAAAGGGAGAAGGUUUGGUACCAUUAAAACGUUUAAUCCCGCUGCAAACGCCAGGAAUCUGAUGUACAGUAGUUGUCGUCUGUUUAUGUAGUUCAUACGUGUUUCUCGUUUCUCGUUUUUAUAUAGAUUAGACCGUUGGUUUUCCCGUUUGAAUGGUUUUACACUAGUAAUUUU